Molecule: long non-coding RNA, 211 nt
Filed under: Carica papaya (papaya)
Lineage: Eukaryota; Viridiplantae; Streptophyta; Magnoliopsida; Brassicales; Caricaceae
Description: long non-coding RNA (CPAP_LNC014661)
Source: RNAcentral
GAAGAUCUGCCAGUACUGCGGCAGGGAUCAUGGGGACCGACCCUGCUACCGCCUCAACAACACCUGUCGCAUAUGCGGUAGUGCCCAGCACUAUGCGAGGGAGUGCCCUAGGAACCAGAAUCAAGGGAGGCCUCCAAUCCAGGGCAGAGUUUACAACCUUACCCAGAAGGAUGCCGACGCAGACCCGGACGUGGUACAUGAUAAACCCAAG